AAUUAAAUAUAGGGGAGCUUGUAGGCAGGCUGAGAGGAAGUAAUCAACUUCGACCCUUAAACCUGAUUUGGAUAAUGCCAACGUAGGAAUUAAGUAUAGGAUUUAA
Non-coding RNA from Eubacterium sp. CAG:192, 106 nucleotides. Lineage: Bacteria; Bacillati; Bacillota; Clostridia; Eubacteriales; Eubacteriaceae. The record is from Rfam.